Gasterosteus aculeatus aculeatus (three-spined stickleback) is the source of this 727-nucleotide non-coding RNA. Lineage: Eukaryota; Metazoa; Chordata; Actinopteri; Perciformes; Gasterosteidae. The record is from RefSeq and is a predicted model, not a curated record.
CGCGGAAAUCACGUCGACCUCCUUCCUGUCCUCCGGCGCUCCCAUGUCGCCUCUGACCGCUCAGCUUCCCACCGUCUGCGCUUCAAACUGCGCUUGAAAACCAUAGAAAAGAAUUCCUCUAAAAGUGAAGACGGCAGUGUGCUGCCUGCUUUAACCUUGUGCAGAAUGUCCUGCAGGCAAUCAUAAAAUACAAACAUGGCUGUUUUUUUAAGGUUGUUGUGAGCGGUUGGAGGCCCCCCGCUGAUCCAGCACCGUCUCCUUUUGCUUCUCUAGAUGUCGCUCCAUCACGUACGGCUUUCGCCGCCCAAACUGUCCAAUUCCUUCGUUCAACUGUUUGUGGAAAACGCCUUUUGCAAAGUGCAAGGUGCAAAAGUCCCUCCGUCUGCGUGUUAUCAGCCAUAGCAGCGAGGUGCCUGUGCAUACUGCACGCUGAUAUGAUGUAAAGUCCUCUGCUGUCCUUCAUACAGGAUCGAUUGUGUAACUCAUUUGAGUUAGAGACCGCGAAGAGGCACUUGAUGUCUCGCUUCAAUUCUUUUAAAGGGAUUAAUCAAUGAGGGGUGAAAUAAAUGCAUUGUGUAUUAAACACCAGCCUUGAUGUUUUCCUGGAUACUGUAUUUUAUUGCCAGCUGUGUUUUUGCACCUGCUUCCUUUGCUUGAGAAAGGCCUGACCACUCAGAGUUUAUGUUUUCCUGUUUGCUUUUCAAUUUAAAAAAAAAGCACAAACGAA